AACGAACGCUGGCGGCGUGCCUAACACAUGCAAGUCGAACGAGACCGUCUUUUCGGGUGUCCUACGGUGGCGAAAGGGGGGGGAACAUGCCCGUGAGCUCGCCAUAACUCCGGGAAAGGGGUGGGAAUAUCGGAUUAUUUCUUCGGAGGAAAGCUUUAUCGCUUGUGUGUUGGCCCGCGUCCGAUGAGCUUGUUGGUGCGGCAAAGGCCUACCAAGGCGACGACGUAUAGCCGGACUAAGAGGUUGAUCGGCCACAGGGAGACUGGGAUUCAGCCCAGACUCCUACUCGUGGCAGCGGUGGGGAAUAUUGCACAAGGGGCGCAAGCCUGAUGCAGCGACGCCGCUGGGGGGAUGACGACCUACGGGUUGUAGUCGCCUAUCGCCAUUGACGAAGCGUAUUAUGACGGUACCUGGAGAAGAAGCUCCGGCUAACUACGUG
RNAcentral lists this ribosomal RNA (439 nucleotides) under uncultured bacterium. RNAcentral's name for it is "partial 16S ribosomal RNA". It matches the Rfam family "Bacterial small subunit ribosomal RNA", at positions 29 to 507 of the family's 1533-position model. The record is from RNAcentral.